ACACGGGGGUUGCGAGCGUUGUCCGGAAUUACUAGGCGUAAAGGGCAGGUAGGCGGAUCUACGAGUUUUUUGUUAAAGGCUACGGCUCAACUGUAGUAGAGCAGGAGAUACUGUAGGUCUGGAAUGCGGUAGGGGAAGACAGAAUUCCUGGUGUAGCGGUGGAAUGCGCAGAGAUCAGGAGGAAUACCGAAGGCGAAGGCAGUCUUCUAGGCCGUAAUUGACGCUUAACUGCGAAGGUGUGGGGAUCAAACAGGAUUAGAUACCCUGGUAGUCCACACAGUAAACGAUAAUCACUAGAUGUCGGGUUCUAGAUGGAUUCGGUGUCGGAGCUAACGCGAUAAGUGAUUCGCCUGGGGAGUACGAUCGCAAGGUUGAA
This 376-nucleotide ribosomal RNA is filed under the name uncultured bacterium. RNAcentral's name for it is "bacterial SSU rRNA". It matches the Rfam family "Bacterial small subunit ribosomal RNA", at positions 523 to 898 of the family's 1533-position model. The record is from RNAcentral.